AUUGAACGCUGGCGGCAGGCCUAACACAUGCAAGUCGAACGAGUGGCGGACGGGAGAGUAAUGUCUGGGAAACUGCCUGAUGGAGGGGGAUAACUACUGGAAACGGUAGCUAAUACCGCAUACCAUCGGAUGUGCCCAGAUGGGAUUAGCGAGUAGGUGGGGUAAAGGCUCACCUAGGCGACGAUCCCUAGCUGGUCUGAGAGGAUGACCAGCCACACAGGAGCUAGGACACGAUCCAGAAUCCUACGGGAGGCAGCAGUGGGGAAUAUUGCACAAUGGGCGCAAGCCUAGUGCAGCCAUGCCGCGUGUAUGAAGAAGGCCUUCGAGUUGUAGAGUACUUUCAGCGGGGAGGCGUUACCCGCAGAAGAGGCACCGACUAACUCCGUGCCAGCAGCCGCGGUAAUAC
This 406-nucleotide ribosomal RNA is filed under the name uncultured bacterium. RNAcentral's name for it is "partial 16S ribosomal RNA". It matches the Rfam family "Bacterial small subunit ribosomal RNA", at positions 30 to 526 of the family's 1533-position model. The record is from RNAcentral.